This is a long non-coding RNA of Girardinichthys multiradiatus, 1865 nucleotides long. RefSeq lists it as uncharacterized. The record is from RefSeq and is a predicted model, not a curated record. The transcript is spliced from 3 exons. NCBI's taxonomy places the organism in Eukaryota, Metazoa, Chordata, Actinopteri, Cyprinodontiformes, Goodeidae.
GAGCUUAGCUUCCUCUCAUUGGUCCACUCUCCUCCUCUCCCUACAUACCUGGUUGUUCUAAUUUUUCUCCGCUGGUUCCUCAUUUCAUGCUUGUCAUGUUGUCACGUCUGUCCUUUGUUUAUGCUGCUUGAGAUACCCUGCCUGUGCAUCUCCUACGACUUUCAGUGCUUCAGCCUGCAGAGCGGCUUCAAUGAAGAGGAGGAGGAGGAGGAAGGAGGCAGGAAACGCAGCGGUGAAGUGACAGAAAAACACAUCCGGACCCAGAGAGCAGAGAGGACAGGUCAGUGAAUGCAGCGCUGAAGCAGAAAAUAAGCUCUUGCUUCACUCUGAAAUCCAGAAACUGAUGUAGAACCUCUGCUCGGGUAGUUCAGGCUUUCUGACCCAGGUGCAGCGUGUCUGCAGGCCAGAUCUCCUGGCUGCUGUUCAAUGCCAGCUAAAAUAUGUUUCUCAAAUCCAACCCAGAUCUUUGAUUUUCCACAUCGGUUCAAGAGGUUCAGCUGCUGAUGUGAAGCUCAGGUAAAUCCUUCCCUGUCUCAUUCCUGCCCCUGGAAUCUGAGCGGACCGACAAAAACUCAACAAGAUGGUCAUAAACAUCCAGCCAAAGGAUCUUCAUGAGGGUAAAACCGCAGGAACAGUGUUUACCUGGACUCAGAAUGAGUCAGUGAAAGCUUCAGUUGUCUUGCCUUGGAUAUAAUGGGUUUUAAAAGCAAAUGAAAGAGAACUUUUCUAUUAAUCAUUGUUGGAGUUUCUGUCUUCUGAGCAGCUCCUCUUUAUUCACCAGCUGCCCUCUGAUUGGAUCUGUGCUCUAUUUAAAUAUGAGCUGCUCAUAUGAAAAGCUUAUCUGCAGCAUUUAGAAUGUGCUGCUGCAGAUAAGCUGUCCGUGUGUCUUCUGCAUUCUUCUAAAGUUUGAUCUUUGUAAACUUUGCAAAGUGAACAAUUAAGAAAGUUAUUCCCAUGUAAUAUGUCAACCUGUUUCAGCCUCAUUUAACUGUUCAAAAAAACUCCUUCAGGUUGCAAAUGUUCAUCAAUCAGGUCCUAUAUCAACCGUUUCCAGGGUUUGUGGAUUUGCAUCUAUCAAGAUCUAUCAGAAAAUAUGUAAUUGUCCAUAUUUUACUUAAUAAACACAACUGAGCGGACAUAGCCAAUAGAAGACUUACUAAAAAUAACACACAAGCACAGAUUUAUGGAUGCAGACAACCUUUAAGUGAUUAGAACUAUAAAGGACCAAAAACACAGCCCUGGGGGACUCCACAAGUAAUGAUGUAGCUAGGGAUGGGUACCGAAUUCAGUACUUUUAUAGGUACCGACCAAAUUCCGUCGGUACUAUUGAGUACCGAUUCACGUAAAAUCAGAUGGUACCAUGUUUCGGUACCUAAACGCAUCAUUGUGACACUGAGGGAGUGGAAGAGUGGGUGAUUUUCCAUGUCGGACAUGAACACAGCAUGACACUCACAAGGCCGUAAUGACGUCAGUAGUCACUGGUACCUUAAACAAAUCAUGGCUGAUAGAAAGCGCUCGAAAUUAUGGCUCCACUUUUCAAAAUGUGAUGCAGCAAUAUUUGUGAUGCAAUGUGCAAGACCGGCUGCGGGAAUACUUCUAAUCUGAGGAAGCACCUGCAGCGGUUCCCCUACCAUUAUCCAAGGGGGGCGCCCCGCCCCGCCCCGCCAACCAGACCGCCAGCCCCCCCAAGAGGAUCACAGCAUGUAGUAAUAGCAUUUAUAUAUUCUUCUGAGUGUGUGUGUAUAUACACUGACCCGGUUAAGCACAAGAUUUUUGUCAAGGCUGAAGAGACAGUUUUCAUCAGCCUCAGAUCUACGGCUAGAACUCCUGCAUUCAGCACCGUUAGCACGCCUGCAUCCGUUAGC